CAAACAAACAAACUGGAGUGAUACACAGAAGGUUAGCAUGGUCUCUGGGUAAGGAUGGCACACAAGUUUAUGAAGUGGUCCGUCUUUAA
RNAcentral lists this small nuclear RNA (89 nucleotides) under Peromyscus maniculatus bairdii (prairie deer mouse). Lineage: Eukaryota; Metazoa; Chordata; Mammalia; Rodentia; Cricetidae. The record is from RNAcentral.